GGGCGGUUAGCUCAGCGGUAGAGCACUUGCUCGACACGCAAGGGGUCACUGGUUCAAUCCCGGUACCGCCCACCA
RNAcentral lists this transfer RNA (75 nucleotides) under Alcanivorax sp. RNAcentral describes it as "tRNA-Val". It matches the Rfam family "tRNA". From Rfam's summary of the family: Transfer RNA (tRNA) molecules are approximately 80 nucleotides in length. Their secondary structure includes four short double-helical elements and three loops (D, anti-codon, and T loops). Further hydrogen bonds mediate the characteristic L-shaped molecular structure. tRNAs have two regions of fundamental functional importance: the anti-codon, which is responsible for specific mRNA codon recognition, and the 3' end, to which the tRNAs corresponding amino acid is attached (by aminoacyl-tRNA synthetases). tRNAs cope with the degeneracy of the genetic code in two manners: having more than one tRNA (with a specific anti-codon) for a particular amino acid; and 'wobble' base-pairing, i.e. permitting non-standard base-pairing at the 3rd anti-codon position. The record is from RNAcentral. RNAcentral also lists the same sequence under 1 other name. Lineage: Bacteria; Pseudomonadati; Pseudomonadota; Gammaproteobacteria; Oceanospirillales; Alcanivoracaceae.